AACCUGCCCAAGAGAUCGGGAUAACACCUGGAAACAGAUGCUAAUACCGGAUAACAANAGAUGAUGCCUAUCAACUGUUUAAAAGAUGGUUCUGCUAUCACUCUUGGAUGGACCUGCGGUGCAUUAGCUAGUUGGUAGGGUAACGGCCUACCAAGGCGAUGAUGCAUAGCCGAGUUGAGAGACUGAUCGGCCACAUUGGGACUGAGACACGGCCCAAACUCCUACGGGAGGCAGCAGUA
RNAcentral lists this ribosomal RNA (239 nucleotides) under uncultured Lactobacillus sp. RNAcentral describes it as "partial 16S ribosomal RNA". It matches the Rfam family "Bacterial small subunit ribosomal RNA", at positions 123 to 355 of the family's 1533-position model. Lineage: Bacteria; Bacillati; Bacillota; Bacilli; Lactobacillales; Lactobacillaceae. The record is from RNAcentral.